UCAAAUUAUAACGGCGGCGAUUAAUCCGUGCAAUCCUCGACCAGUUCCGGCCAAUUCCCAUAGUAAAAUCAGAAAUUAGCCCAUCUUCCUCCUCCACCUCACAAUUUCUCUGCCGCUUCUCCUUGCCCUAGAGAUUACCGGGCUAGAUCUCAACUUUCCAUCCAUGCUGCUAUCCAAUCUCCAUGUGUUCCUUUGAUUUAGAAAAGUUUACAUCGCAAGAGCAUUGGUGAGGUGGAGCAGGGGAGGUGGUUGGAUCGGGGCUGGUGGUGCUGCGAUGCCGAGGCAGUGGUCGGGGAGACGUCGUGCUGCAGCCGAGGAAGCUCGAGAGGCGGCGACUAAAGGACGCUCUACUGGAUGUGGAGAAUCUCCAUGGCGCGAUGGAUGAGGUGGGCGAGUAGAUGGGCAGCCGACGAGGUACACCGUACACAGGAGGCGGCGAUGCCAUGGACGGCGUAGAGCCGAGGUGCGGCGAGCAGAUGGGCAGUCGGCGAGGCGCACAGGAAGCGGCGGCGCCCUAGACAGCUGCAGAGGAGAGAGGCCACAAGGGGAGGAGGAGCUCAGGCGGAGCAACUCCUCGCUUCUGUCUCCAUGUCCAAAGUAGUAUCCCUCGAGGAUGCAGUUCUCAAAAAAUAUAGAUCACAAUCUAAUUUGUCCUCUCCUUGAUCCCCUUCUUCCAAGGAUUGAAUCUCUUCAGUUCCAAAAUUCAAAUCAGUGCACAAUCAUCAUCUUAAACAAACACAAGAUCCAAUCCCAGCCUCCCCGGAUGCUUUGCUCCUCAAUAUUUAAAUCCCCUCAGUUUCACCAAGCACCAUGAUUUUUCAUAAGAAUUGAGUGUUGGUCAGUUGGAAGAUGGAGAAAGUUUGAAACAGGUCGAGCGGUCGUCACCAUCGGCGAGGCUGCGAAGUGGACGAACAACACUCCCUUCACGCAGGCAGAGCAAGUGUUUUUCCAUGAAAGAGUCAAAUACUGGACAAGAAGCUCACACUUUGAUGUUUACAUGAGGCUGAGGCGCUGAGCGAUUUUGAUGUUUGAGAAAAGUUCCUACAAACAAACUUGAGCUCUCAAAGAACUGCAAGUGUCUGAUACAUCGCCAAACCUAAUUAAGUUGUGUUGUAGGGUUCCUGCGGGCGGACAGCAAGAGGCACACGCACGGUGGAAGCAGGUAGGUGGUGGAUGCGGCGACAACUGCGAGCUCCAUGUCUCCGGCAGCCGCGUCGCCUUCUUCGCUAGACAAUUAUAUUAUACAUCUGCUAAGGGUAACUACAAGGUGUUCUUCACAGAGCUCAAUUGAGCUAAAUUAGUCGAGUUGUUGGGUAAUCUAACUAAGCAUCCUUUUGGAACUAUGCUUUCAUCACGUAUUGGAAAGAUAGCAGAACAUACAUAUCAUCCACAUGCAAAGAACUGAAAUAAUUAAAGAUAGUGUGAAUUAGUACAAUUUACUGCAGAUUCGAGAACUAUUGUAAACAUUGCAAUGGAAUACUUCAGAUUUAGUAGAAUUUGUUGUAAGGUAAUGAUAUUACGUAUAUAAAUGAUUGAAAACAAUUUAAUUAGUUGUUUCCUUCUAUGUUAUUUUUAAAAUAUAAUUUCACAGAAUUAGCCUUUUGAUUCAUUUUGUUUUCUAUGAUAAAUUCGCGAUUACUAUGUCAAAUGUAAGAAACCUAUAUAUUAAGAUGCCUUUCUUCAUGUAAAUUGUGUAGACCUUAGAUUACUAGGUUGAUUGUAUUCUCUUAGCAUUGCUCAUCGUGCCUUGAAAGAAUGUGUUUCCAACAGUGCUAGAACUGUUUAAAAAUGUCAGGAAUGAUAUCGUCCGCAUCAUCAGUUGAUGAGAGAAAUAUGUGCAGAAGAUUUUUAUAGGAUCAUUUCAGGCUUAGACAUAAGUCGUAGAUAAUUGAUUUACAUCCAAUAACAACCUAGAAAGUGUUUGAAACUCAAGAUAUAAAAUUGACUUUGGAAUCAAGAAGUUUUCAUUGCAUAUGUAUAUAUGACUAUCAUAUAUGCUAGAUUAUCAUAUAAUUAUAUACGAUCAUUAAGUAUCCACUAUUCACAAUAUCAUGUACGACUAGAAGGUUUUUACAAGAUUGUGAUGUAGUGGCUGGGCAUGCCGGGCCACAUAUCAUGAAAUCCCUCCUCUCUUCUCCAUCUUGAUGAAUUCAUCGGAGAGCCACCAAUAUUUUUGCUUUAUUCGUAAUGUCUCAUCAAGACAUUUUUUUGGUUUUGUACAUUUUUCACGACACAACGCUUACCAGACUAUGAAUUAUAGGGAGUGAAGGAGAACCAACCAGCUGCGAUAAUCUGUGUGGCAUUUGCUGCCAACUAGCAGAGUUGUGUACAUAUAGAAAUCAACCACUGUCAGCCAAAUCUUUUUGAUGUUUAUAGAAGCUUUAUAGACGUUUUCCUAUGUAAAGGAUUUCGAGAUUGUACGUUUUUCUUCCAAUAUGUGCUAACUUUCAGAUUAUCUGCAUGUAUAACAAACAUUUCUUUUGUCCAGGAAUAAGAAUCAUAUCUUAUGAAGUGUAUAAUAUUUUAUUGGUAGAUUUGUAAGAUUUAAGUAUUGUUGGUUGUGCAAGAAAAUAGCUUCAUGUAUGGAUUAUUGAGUUACACAUGCUUCUGUUUAUGGUUUGUUUGUUGUAUUUGGAAACAGAUCUAGAUAGAUGAUCUUUAUAAUACAGAACAUUCAUAUUAAAUUUUCCUGUGUUUUUAGCCAUGUAAUCCAUAUUAUCAUUGUUUUUUUAAUAAUAUGUGUGAUCCUUCCUUUGGAGUUACAGUAUUCAGAUAGCAUAGUUUCCACUUACAGAAAAUAUGCUAAAAGAAUUUUCAGGUACACUUUCCGAGUGCCCUCACAGUGAUUUUCAUGUUUCUUGCAAGGGCUUCUACAUAAGGAUAAAUCUGUUCUAAAAAAAUAGUAGAUUUAUGUAGUCCCGUUAUGCGCAGCAAUAUUCACGCAUGCCUCUACAUCUACUUCAUUGAAUAGUAAUCUGCAAUCUUCAUUAGCAUAGAACAAAAAAAUCUGUGAGAAAACUUACACAUCUUUAUCUCAAAUCGUUAAAUGGGUUUAGGUACUACCAAUUUCAAUAUGGUCGCUUAUGUUUCUUUUGUCAUUGAUAGUUUCUCACAAGUCCUAACUUCCACAGGUAAGGAAUUGAUUUACCUCUUGAUAGUUUUCUUGCUUUUGGAAUUUAUCUUUCUGUUGCAACCAAAUUACAUUAUUAUUUUCUGUAAGUCGAAGUUGAAAUCCAUGGUUUCUCUAUGCUGGUAAAAAAUAAAGUUCCCCAUCUCUUUUCUUAACACAAUAUGCAUCUUAUCUUCUCUCAUGUAAGCAAUCUCGAUAAGACUCCUCUAUCUUUAAACCACACUCAAGUCCAUGGUUUCCUCGGCGCGACAAACUAUAGUUGGAUCAGUGUUUCAAAAGACGUGGCGUGGGCUUGAAGGAUACGCCGAAGGCAUCCGAUGGUCGGAGGGAUCGUCAAGGGGAGGUUCCCAGGGUUAUGAACUACCAAGUAAUUUGUAUUUUCUUUAUUAUUGUAUUUUUUGUUUGUCCUAAAUACUAGAUUCAUAUUUCUUGCUUUCCACUGUUUGUAAUAUGAUCCAAACUCCUCACGUGUUUAUGUUGCUUGAAUAUUUCAGACUGAGUUAGAAGUAAACCACAUGUCUUUCAUAGUA
Long non-coding RNA from Triticum aestivum (bread wheat), 3660 nucleotides. RefSeq lists it as uncharacterized. The record is from RefSeq and is a predicted model, not a curated record. The transcript is spliced from 2 exons. Lineage: Eukaryota; Viridiplantae; Streptophyta; Magnoliopsida; Poales; Poaceae.